Molecule: unclassified non-coding RNA, 295 nt
Filed under: uncultured Pleosporales
Lineage: Eukaryota; Fungi; Ascomycota; Dothideomycetes; Pleosporales
Also listed under: 1 other name
Description: sequence contains ITS1
Rfam family: 5.8S ribosomal RNA (bases 1-105)
Source: RNAcentral
GAAAUGCGAAAAGUAGUGUGAAUUGCAGAAUUCAGUGAAUCAUCGAAUCUUUGAACGCACAUUGCGCCCCUUGGUAUUCCAUGGGGCAUGCCUGUUCGAGCGUCAUUUUGUACCCUCAAGCACUGCUUGGUGUUGGGCGUUUGUCCUGCAAAGGACUCGCCUGAAAGCGAUUGGCGGCCAACGUACUGGUGGUAGAGCGCAGCACAAUUUGCGUCUCUCCCCUCUGCGUCGGCGUCCAUGAAGCCUUUUUUCAACGUUUGACCUCGGAUCAGGUAGGGAUACCCGCUGAACUUAA